CACCUGGGCAGGUCAUAUACUGAAAUUGGAGUUAGCAUGGCCCCUGUGCAAGGCGAUGACAAGCAAAUCUGUGAAGCAUUUCAUAUUUUU
RNAcentral lists this small nuclear RNA (90 nucleotides) under Aotus nancymaae (Ma's night monkey). The record is from RNAcentral. Lineage: Eukaryota; Metazoa; Chordata; Mammalia; Primates; Aotidae.